AAAAUCCGGGCCUCAUAAACUCUGAGACGUGAUACCGAGCCGCUUCAGGCGAAGUCAUUGAUCCUAUGCUGCCUAGAAAAGCCCAGCAGCGAGUUGACAUGGUGCCCGUACCCCAAACCAACACAGGUGGACAGGUAGAGCAUACCAAGGCGAGUGGGAUAACUAUGGUUAAGGAACUCGGCAAAUUGCCUCCGUAACUUCGGGAGAAGGAGGACCCCAGUAGCGUGAUGAGACUUGCUCUCUGAGCGUGAAGGGGUGGCACAAAAUUGAGGGAAGCGACUGUUUACCAAAAACACAGCAGCGUGCUAAGCCGUAAGGCGCUGUAUACGCUGAGACUCCUGCCCGGUGCUGGAAGGUUACGGGGAUGGGUUAGUCCUUCGGGACGAAGCUCUGAACCUAAGCCCCAGUAAACGGCGGCCAUAACUAUAACGGUCCUAAGGUAGCGAAAUUCCUUGUCGGGUAAGUUCCGACCUGCACGAAUGGAGUAACGACUUCCCUACUGUCUCAACCAUAGACCCAGCGAAAUUGAAGUACGAGUAAAGAUGCUCGUUAGCUGCAGAAGGACGGAAAGACCCCGUGGACCUUUACUAUAACUUGAUGUUGUGUUUUGUCAUAUGUUGUGUAGGAUAGGUGGGAGACUUGGAAGCAUGGACGCUAGUCUGUGUGGAGUCAUCGUUGAAAUACCACCCUGCAUAUGGUGAGGCUCUAACCUAGACCCGUUAUCCGGGUUGGGGACAGCGUCAGGCGGGUAGUUUAACUGGGGCGGUUGCCUCCUAAAGAGUAACGGAGGCGCCCAAAGGUUCCCUCAGCCUGGUUGGCAAUCAGGCGUUGAGUGCAAUGGCAAAAGGGAGCUUGACUGCGAGACCUACAAGUCGAGCAGGAGCGAAAGCUGGGCAUAGUGAUCCGGCGGUUGCGUGUGGAAGCGCCGUCGCUCAACUGAUAAAAGGUACCCCGGGGAUAACAGGCUAAUCUUGCCCAAGCGUCCAUAGCGACGGCAAGGUUUGGCACCUCGAUGUCGGCUCAUCGCAUCCUGGGGCUGAAGCAGGUCCCAAGGGUUGGGCUGUUCGCCCAUUAAAGCGGUACGCGAGCUGGGUUCAGAACGUCGUGAGACAGUUCGGUCCCUAUCCUCUGCAGCCGGAGGUGAAUUGAGGAAAGCUGUCCCUAGUACGAGAGGACCGGGACGGACGCAGCUCUCGUGUGCCAGUUGUCCUGCCAAGGGCAUGGCUGGUUAGCGACCUGCGGAAAGGAUAACCGCUGAAAGCACCUAAGCGGGAAGCCUCUUCCAAGAUGAAUUCACCCACAGGGUUAACCUGGUAAGGCCCGUGGUAGACCACCACGUUGAUAGGCCGGAAGUGUAAGCGUGGCAACACGUUCAGCUGACCGGUACUAAUCGGCCGAGGGCUUGAGUUG
Molecule: ribosomal RNA, 1410 nt
Filed under: metagenome
Description: bacterial LSU rRNA
Rfam family: Bacterial large subunit ribosomal RNA
Source: RNAcentral